AUUCACUAGUGAUUAAACUCAAACGGAAUUGACGGGGACCCGCACAAGCGGUGGAGCAUGUGGUUUAAUUCGAUGCUACGCGAAAAACCUUACCAACCCUUGACAUACCGGUCGCGAGGAUCAGAGAUGAACCUCUUCAGCUCGGCUGGACCGGAUACAGGUGUUGCAUGGCUGUCGUCAGCUCGUGUCGUGAGAUGUUGGGUUAAGUCCCGCAACGAGCGCAACCCUUGUUCUUAGUUACCAACAGGUCAUGCUGGGCACUCUAAGAAUACUGCCGGUGAUAAGCCGGAGGAAGGUGGGGACGACGUCAAGUCAUCAUGGCCCUUACGGGUUGGGCUACACACGUGCUACAAUGGCGGUGACAAUGGGUAGCCAAAGGGUAACCUGGAGCUAAUCCUCAAAAGCCGUCUCAGUUCGGAUUGAAGUCUGCAACUCGACUUCAUGAAGUCGGAAUCGCUAGUAAUCGUGGAUCAGCAUGCCACGGUGAAUACGUUCACGGGUCUUGUACACACUGCCCGUCACGCCAUGGGAGUUGGUUCUACCUGAAGCCGGUGGGCUAACCGCAAGGAAGCAGCCGUCCACGGUAGGGUCAGCGACUGGGGUGAAGUCGUAACAAGGUAGCCGUAGAAU
RNAcentral lists this ribosomal RNA (630 nucleotides) under uncultured bacterium. RNAcentral's name for it is "bacterial SSU rRNA". It matches the Rfam family "Bacterial small subunit ribosomal RNA", at positions 883 to 1508 of the family's 1533-position model. The record is from RNAcentral.